ACCUCGCGAGAGCAAGCGGACCUCAUAAAGUGCGUCGUAGUCCGGAUUGGAGUCUGCAACUCGACUCCAUGAAGUCGGAAUCGCUAGUAAUCGUGGAUCAGAAUGCCACGGUGAAUACGUUCCCGGGCCUUGUACACACCGCCCGUCACACCAUGGGAGUGGGUUGCAAAAGAAGUAGGUAGCUUAACCUUCGGGAGGGCGCUUACCACUUUGUGAUUCAUGACUGGGGUGAAGUCGUAACAAGGUAACCGUAGGGGAACCUGCGGUUGGA
RNAcentral lists this ribosomal RNA (271 nucleotides) under Salmonella enterica subsp. enterica. RNAcentral's name for it is "partial 16S ribosomal RNA". It matches the Rfam family "Bacterial small subunit ribosomal RNA", at positions 1252 to 1522 of the family's 1533-position model. Lineage: Bacteria; Pseudomonadati; Pseudomonadota; Gammaproteobacteria; Enterobacterales; Enterobacteriaceae. RNAcentral also lists the same sequence under 1 other name. The record is from RNAcentral.